This 647-nucleotide ribosomal RNA is filed under the name Hirschmanniella sp. 2 SAS-2008. RNAcentral's name for it is "eukaryotic LSU rRNA". It matches the Rfam family "Eukaryotic large subunit ribosomal RNA", at positions 367 to 856 of the family's 3401-position model. The record is from RNAcentral. Lineage: Eukaryota; Metazoa; Nematoda; Chromadorea; Rhabditida; Pratylenchidae.
CAAAGCACUUUGAAGAGAGAGUUAAAGAGGACGUGAAACCGAUGAGGUGGAAACGGAUAGAGCCAGCGUAUCUGGCCUGUAUUCACCCACAGUCACCGUCGCGCUUAGGCUGUUCGCCCUCCAGAUUGGGACGGCGUCUUUGCUGCUUGACCUUGGCGGUGGUGCAUUUGCAGGUGGUGUGCGCCGAGGUGCUUGGAAUGGCUGCAUGAGCUCAGUGUUGAGGCCAGCUUGCUGGUACCCACACUGGAGGAGUGUUGUUCAUUCUGAGCGUUUUGGGCAUGGCUUACGAGCCUGGGUGGGUGCCGAGCUGUAUGACAGUGGCGGUCGCAUGCGACACGUGCUGUUCAGCCAGUUCGGGCCUGCUCUCGGCUCUCAUGCUCACUCUCGGUGUAAAAGCUGGUCAUCUGUCCGACCCGUCUUGAAACACGGACCAAGGAGUUUAUCGUGUGCGCAAGUCAUUGGGCGCUGAAAACCCAAAGGCGCAAUGAAAGUGAACGCAUCCGCAAGGAGCUGACGUGCGAUCCCGGGCAUUGCGGUGCCCGGGCGCAGCAUGGCCCCAUCCUGACUGCAUGCAGUGGGGUGGAGGUAGAGCGUACGCGGUGAGACCCGAAAGAUGGUGAACUAUUCCUGAGCAGGAUGAAGCCAGA